Long non-coding RNA from Antechinus flavipes (yellow-footed antechinus), 28172 nucleotides. RefSeq lists it as uncharacterized. The transcript has 3 exons. Lineage: Eukaryota; Metazoa; Chordata; Mammalia; Dasyuromorphia; Dasyuridae. The record is from RefSeq and is a predicted model, not a curated record.
UCUCCAUCCAUGUCUUAUUUCUCACUUUCUCCUGUCAGAUCCCUCUCAUUGUCUAGGUCUCUUGUGCCUUUGUUUUCUGUCUCUGACUUUUAGACCUUCAGGUUUCUCAGUGAGUUUUAGAUCUCUUUACCCAUUCCUUUCCCAUCCUUCAAGUAUCUAAAUUCAUCCAUUUUCCCCAGUCAAGUCUGAACACAUAUACUUAUCUCCCUCUCUCACUCACUGUGGCUAACUCUUUCUCUUUGCAUGUGGCUCCUCACUUUUGCUUCUCCUCCCUGUGCUCCUCCCUUCAGCCAUCUCACACCACAUACUUCUUGCCAUUCAUGUGUUCCUUCUCAAUGACAUUUGACAGUCACUCAAUGUAUCAGAGUUUGGGUCUCUCCAUUCAUUCCUUUCUGUCUGCCAUUUCACUCAUCAUCAUCCUCUCAUUUUCCUACUCCACGCUCCUCUCUGUACUUCUUUUCAUCCAUUCAAUUCUGAUCCCCCACUAUAUACCCACCAGCAUAUACAAUUUCUCUAUAUAUACUUGUUGCACUUGUUCCCUUCCAUCUCUCUGGGAUUUCUCUCAUACUCAGGGUUCCUAGGAUACAAUCAUGUCUCAUACUUCUCUUGAUUUAGCCUCUGCUUCCUGAGCUUAUCCCUCCUAGUAUUGUUUAUUAAAUCUUCAGCAUCUUCAUCUUCUCACAGGCUCAGCUAUCUCUAUGUUUCCACCUUCUCUACUUUACUUUUUGGGCUUUCCAACUCACUUCAUUGUAUCCUGAUCUGCAGCUAUAAACCUUUCAUUCAGUACAUCUCCAUUUCCAUAUAACUCUCAUUCCCUUUGCCUCUUUCCUCAUUUAUCCAACUCUUUCAGCCUUGGGUCCUCUUCUACCAGUAGCUUGGUUUUUCCUACCUGAGUAUCAAUGCAGUCUAUCUCGUUCAGUCUUCAGAUCCAUUAUGUUCCCCUGCUGAUCUCGUUUUCUAAAACUUAGAUCACUCUGUUGAAUUUUCCUCUCAUUCAUUUCUCCUUCCCUCACUGUCCCUCUCCAAAUAUUUCUCUUUCAUUCAAUCUCACCAGUCAUUCUUCCAUUCUUUUGUGCUCAAAUUCAGUCAUUUCUCCUUACACACCUCUUACCAUUCACUCCUUUUUCUUAUUGAAUUUGACUAUUCCUUCAAGUAUCAGAGGUUGGGUCUCUUCUUUCACUCCUGUCUUUCUGGUCUCUGUGUGUCACAUUCUCACAUUCACCCCAUCAGGAUUUCUCAUUCCACUCUUUUUCUCUUUAGUCUCUCAACUCUCAUUGUCUUAAACGUUCAUACAAGCAAUCUCCCAUUUUCUCACACAUUUUCUUUUUUCACAGUGGCCGGCCUCUUCUGUAUUCAUUCAUGCUCUAUUAGUACUAGACCUAAACUCUUCUCUGCCCCUCUACAACUCGAUGAUCCCUUGACCACACAAACGUGUAAUUUCUCCUUUCAUACACUGGUCACACUCUAGCUCACUAGAUUUAGCCGCAUAGCCCACAGGGAGCAGCCUUGCUUCUCCACAUCAUGCACAUUCAGUCCAUCACUUCUCUCAUCCUUCACUCCUUCAGGUAGAUUUUGCAAACAGGCAAUCAUCACUUUCACUCUUCCCCAUUUUCUUGCAUGUCCCACAAUGGCUCUUUUGCAGCAUAGCAUAUUUGACUCUCACCAUCUCACCAUUCAGCCGUUCAUCUACAUAUCCUUCAUAGCUAAGGCUCGUGCUUUUAAACCCACACACUGCACACUUGUUUCCAGCCAAAUAUCUCUGUUGUGCGUACAGGGCUAUUUCCACACAUCACCCACUCUCUUGCUCUCUCUUUCCAUACCCUGCUCACUCUUUUUGUGUCUCUCUCCAUCCAUGUCUUAUUUCUCACUUUCUCCUGUCAGAUCCCUCUCAUUGUCUAGGUCUCUUGUGCCUUUGUUUUCUGUCUCUGACUUUUAGACCUUCAGGUUUCUCAGUGAGUUUUAGAUCUAUUUACCCAUUCCUUUCUCAUCCUUCAAGUAUCUAAAUUCAUCCAUUUCCCCCAGUCCAGGUCUCAACAUGUAUACCUAUCUCCCUCUCUGAGGUACCCUCAUAACUAUUUCUUUUUUGAUGUGUCUCCUCAGUAUUACUUCUCCCUGUGCUCCUCCAUUCAGUCAUCUUACACCACAUACUUCUUGCCAUUCAUGUGUUCCUUCUCAAUGACAUUUGACAGUCACUCAAUGUAUCAGAGUUUGGGUCUCUCCAUUCAUUCCUUUCUGUCUGCCAUUUCACUCAUCAUCAUCCUCUCAUUUUCCUACUCCACGCUCCUCUCUGUACUUCUUUUCAUCCAUUCAAUUCUGAUCCCCCACUAUAUACCCACCAGCAUAUACAAUUUCUCUAUAUAUACUUGUUGCACUUGUUCCCUUCCAUCUCUCUGGGAUUUCUCUCAUACUCAGGGUUCCUAGGAUACAAUCAUGACUCAUACUUCUCUUGAUUUAGCCUCUGCUUCCUGAGCUUAUCCCUCCUAGUAUUGUUUAUUAAAUCUUCAGCAUCUUCAUCUUCUCACAGGCUCAGCUAUCUCUAUGUUUCCACCUUCUCUACUUUACUUUUUGGGCUUUCCAACUCACUUCAUUGUAUCCUGAUUUGCAGCUAUAAACCUUUCAUUCAGUACAUCUCCAUUUCCAUAUAACUCUCAUUCCCUUUGCUUCUUUCCUCAUUUAUCCAACUCUUUUAGCCUUGGGUCCUCUUCUACCAGUAGCUUGGUUUUUCCUACCUGAGUAUCAAUGCAGUCUAUCUCGUUCAGUCUUCAGAUCCAUUGUGUUCCCCUGCUGAUCUCGUUUUCUAAAACUUAGAUCACUCUGUUGACUUUUCCUCUCAUUCAUUUCUCCUUCCCUCACUGUCCCUCUCCAAAUAUUUCUCUUUCAUUCAAUCUCACCAGUCAUUCUUCCAUUCUUUUGUGCUCAAAUUCAGUCAUUUCUCCUUACACACCUCUUACCAUUCACUCCUUUUUCUUAUUGAAUUUGACUAUUCCUUCAAGUAUCAGAGGUUGGGUCUCUUCUUUCACUCCUGUCUUUCUGGUCUCUGUGUGUCACAUUCUCACAUUCACCCCAUCAGGAUUUCUCAUUCCACUCUUUUUCUCUUUAGUCUCUCAACUCUCAUUGUCUUAAACGUUCAUACAAGCAAUCUCCCAUUUUCUCACACAUUUUCUUUUUUCACAGUGGCCCGGCCUCUUCUGUAUUCAUUCAUGCUCUAUUAGUACUAGACCUAAACUCUUCUCUGCCCCUCUACAACUCGAUGAUCCCUUGACCACACAAACGUGUAAUUUCUCCUUUCAUACACUGGUCACACUCUAGCUCACUAGAUUUAGCCGCAUAGCCCACAGGGAGCAGCCUUGCUUCUCCACAUCAUGCACAUUCAGUCCAUCACUUCUCUCAUCCUUCACUCCUUCAGGUAGAUUUUGCAAACAGGCAAUCAUCACUUUCACUCUUCCCCAUUUUCUUGCAUGUCCCACAAUGGCUCUUUUGCAGCAUAGCAUAUUUGACUCUCACCAUCUCACCAUUCAGCCGUUCAUCUACAUAUCCUUCAUAGCUAAGGCUCGUGCUUUUAAACACACACACUGCACACUUGUUUCCAGCCAAAUAUCUCUGUUGUGCGUACAGGGCUAUUUCCACACCAUCACCCACUCUCUUGCUCUCUCUUUCCAUACCCUGCUCACUCUUUUUGUGUCUCUCUCCAUCCAUGUCUUAUUUCUCACUUUCUCCUGUCAGAUCCCUCUCAUUGUCUAGGUCUCUUGUGCCUUUGUUUUCUGUCUCUGACUUUUAGACCUUCAGGUUUCUCAGUGAAUUUUAUAUCUCCUUACCCAUUCCUUUCCCAUCCUUCAAGUAUCUAAAUUCAUCCAUUUUCCCCAGUCAAGUCUCAACACAUAUACUUAUCUCCCUCUCUCACUCACUGUGGCUAACUCUUUCUCUUUGCAUGUGGCUCCUCACUUUUGCUUCUCCUCCCUGUGCUCCUCCCUUCAGCCAUCUCACACCACAUACUUCUUGCCAUUCAUGUGUUCCUUCUCAAUGAUAUUUGACAGUCACUAAAUGUAUCAGAGUUUGGGUCUCUCCAUUCAUUCCUUUCUGUCUGCCAUUUGGUCACUCAUCAUCAUCCUCUCAUUUUCCUACUCCAUGCUCCUCUCUGUACUUCUUUUCAUCCAUUCAAUUCUGAUCCCCCACUAUAUACCCACCAGCAUAUACAAUUUCUCUAUAUAUACUUGUUGCACUUGUUCCCUUCCAUCUCUCUGGGAUUUCUCUCAUACUCAGGGUUCCUAGGAUACAAUCAUGUCUCAUACUUCUCUUGAUUUAGCCUCUGCUUCCUGAGCUUAUCCCUCCUAGUAUUGUUUAUUAAAUCUUCAGCAUCUUCAUCUUCUCACAGGCUCAGCUAUCUCUAUGUUUCCACCUUCUCUACUUUACUUUUUGGGCUUUCCAACUCACUUCAUUGUAUCCUGAUUUGCAGCUAUAAACCUUUCAUUCAGUACAUCUCCAUUUCCAUAUAACUCUCAUUCCCUUUGCCUCUUUCCUCAUUUAUCCAACUCUUUCAGCCUUGGGUCCUCUUCUACCAGUAGCUUGGUUUUUCCUACCUGAGUAUCAAUGCAGUCUAUCUCGUUCAGUCUUCAGAUCCAUAAUGUUCCCCUGCUGAUCUCGUUUUCUAAAACUUAGAUCACUCUGUUGACUUUUCCUCUCAUUCAUUUCUCCUUCCCUCACUGUCCCUCUCCAAAUAUUUCUCUUUCAUUCAAUCUCACCAGUCAUUCUUCCAUUCUUUUGUGCUCAAAUUCAGUCAUUUCUCCUUACACACCUCUUACCAUUCACGCCUUUUUCUUAUUGAAUUUGACUAUUCCUUCAAGUAUCAGAGGUUGGGUCUCUUCUUUCACUCCUGUCUUUCUGGUCUCUGUGUGUCACAUUCUCACAUUCACCCCAUCAGGAUUUCUCAUUCCACUCUUUUUCUCUUUAGUCACUCAACUCUCAUUGUCUUAAACGUUCAUACAAGCAAUCUCCCAUUUUCUCACACAUUUUCUUUUUUCACAGUGGCCCGGCCUCUUCUGUAUUCAUUCAUGCUCUAUUAGUACUAGACCUAAACUCUUCUCUGCCCCUCUACAACUCGAUGAUCCCUUGACCACACAAACGUGUAAUUUCUCCUUUCAUACACUGGUCACACUCUAGCUCACUAGAUUUAGCCGCAUAGCCCACAGGGAGCAGCCUUGCUUCUCCACAUCAUGCACAUUCAGUCCAUCACUUCUCUCAUCCUUCACUCCUUCAGGUAGAUUUUGCAAACAGGCAAUCAUCACUUUCACUCUUCCCCAUUUUCUUGCAUGUCCCACAAUGGCUCUUUUGCAGCAUAGCAUAUUUGACUCUCACCAUCUCACCAUUCAGCCGUUCACCUACAUAUCCUUCAUAGCUAAGGCUCGUGCUUUUAAACACACACACUGCACACUUGUUUCCAGCCAAAUAUCUCUGUUGUGCGUACAGGGCUAUUUCCACACCAUCACCCACUCUCUUGCUCUCUCUUUCCAUACCCUGCUCACUCUUUUUGUGUCUCUCUCCAUCCAUGUCUUAUUUCUCACUUUCUCCUGUCAGAUCCCUCUCAUUGUCUAGGUCUCUUGUGCCUUUGUUUUCUGUCUCUGACUUUUAGACCUUCAGGUUUCUCAGUGAGUUUUAGAUCUCUUUACCCAUUCCUUUCUCAUCCUUCAAGUAUCUAAAUUCAUCCAUUUCCCCCAGUCCAGGUCUCAACAUGUAUACCUAUCUCCCUCUCUGAGGUACCCUCAUAACUAUUUCUUUUUUAAUUUGUCUCCUCAGUAUUACUUCUCCCUGUGCUCCUCCAUUCAGUCAUCUUACACCACAUACUUCUUGCCAUUCAUGCAUUCCUUCUCAAAAAGAUUUGACAGUCACUCAUGUAUCAGAGUUUGGGUCUCUCCAUUCAUUCCUUUCUGUCUGCCAUUUGGUCACCCAUCAUCUUCCUCUCAUUUUUCUAUUCCACGCUCCUCUCCGUACUUCUUUUCAUCCAUUCAAUUCUGACCUCAAUUAUUAUACCUGCCCAAUAUAUACAAUUUCUGCAUGUAUACUUAUCCUACUUGUUCCCUUCUAUCUCUCUUGGCUUUCUCUUAUACUCAUUGAUUUUUCCUAGGACACAAUCAUGUCUUAUACUGCUCUACAUUCACCUUCCUCUCCUUGAGGUUAUCCCUCCUAAUUCUGUUUGUUUAAUCUUCAGCAGCAGCAUCUUCUCACUGGCUUAGCUAUCUCUAUGUCUCCAUCUUCUCUACUUUCCUUUUUGGGCUUUCCAACCUACUUCAUUGUGUCAUGAUCUGCAGCUACAAAUCUUCCAUUCAAUACAUCUCUAUUUUCAUAUAUCUCUCACUUUUCUGCUCUUUCUAUGCAUUGUUAAAUUUCCCUCUUUCCCCUUCAUCGUAUUAUUUCAGUUCUGGCUAUUCUCCUAACAUCUUGCCUUUUCCUACUUGAAUAUCCUUUAUUCUAAGUAUUCAUUGGCCUCCCCUGCAGGUAUAUCUCAUUUUCUACACCUUUGACUCUGUUAACUUGUCUUCCCACUUAUUUCCCCUUCUCUCUGUUGUUCUCCCAGUGUUUCUCUUUCAUUCAAUCUGACCAGUCAUUCUUCCUUUCUUUCAUGCUCCCCCAUUCAGUCAUCUCACAUUGCAUUCCUUACUCCAUUCAUCCUUGUGUCUUAUUGGAACUUGACUGUCCCCUCAAGUAUCAGAGGUUGGGUCUCUCCUUUCACUCCUCUCUUUGUGGUCUCUGGGUCUCACAUUCUCACCUUCGCCCCAUCUGGAUUUCUCAAUCCAUUCUCCUCUCUCUUUCUCUUUAGCCACUCAUCUCUCAUCUUCUGUAUAUAGCCAGUUAUCCAUCACAAACAGUUAACCUUCCUCCACACAUAAAAGUCCCAUUCAUCAUCUUAUUUCACAUAAGUUUGUCACUCUCUAGUUUUAUUUCUAGCAGCCAGAUCUCACUAGUCCCUAUCCACAUGCACCUGUCUCUACCUCAGUGCUUCCCUAGAGCCACUCUAUGUCCUUGUCCUCUGAAAUCUUGGCUUUAGCCCUUUGGUUAGCAGCUCAUCCUUUAUUACUUCCCAUUUUGCUUUCUCCCUUUGUUAAAUUGACAGAAAUCUCUGCCCAGGCAUCUCUCACUCCAGAGCAUUUCCAUCCUCACAUUUCUCACUUGCUUGACCUUUCAUACCAACAAUCUCACAUUUUCUCACACAUUUAAUUUUUUUCACAGUGGCCCGGCCUCUUCUGUAUUCAUUCAUGCUCUAUUAGUACUAGACCUAAAUCACUGUCUGCCCUUUUGCAGCUCGAUGAUCCCUUGAUCACACAAACCUGGAGUUUCUCCUUUCAUACAUCGGUCACACGCUAGCUCACUAGAUGUAGCCACAUAGCCCACAGGGAGCAGUGUUGUUUCUCCACAUCAUGCCCAUUCAGUCCAUCACUUCUCUCAUCCUUCACUUCUUCAGGUAGAUUUUGCAAACAGCCAAUCAUCACUUUCACUCUGUACUAUUUUCUUGCAUGUUCUCCAGUGGUUCUUUAGCAGCAUAGAAUACUUGACUCUUGCUACCUUUCUUUUCCUCCUUUCAAGGUUUUGAUAUUUUUUCAGGAAUUCAUCCUUCAUGGCUAUGGCUUUUGCUUUCACACAAAGUUAAUGCAAAAUAGAUAUUUCCAAACAAGUGUCUCUUAUAUAUGUCUCUCAGUACAUCACUCACUCUGUGCUCUCUCUUUUGAUACAGUGCUCAUUCGUUUUGUGUCUCCAUCCAUCCAUCUAAUUUUUCACUGUCUCCAUUCAGAACCUUCUCCCUCACUGUCUUGAUCUCUUUCAUUUGUGUUCUGUCUCAAGUGUCUAAAUUCAUUCAUUUCCCACAGCCUAGUUCUCAGCAUGGACUCCUUUUUCCCUCUCUCAGGCACCCUAGUAACUAUUUCUCUUUUUGGAUGUGGCUGCUCAGUUUUGCUUCUCAUCCUUGUGCUCCACAGUUCAGCCAUCUCACACUGCAUCCUUCUUGCCAUUCAUGCAUUCCUUCUCAUUGACAUUUAACAGUCAUUCAUAUCAGAGUUUGGGUCUCUCCAUUCAUUCUUUUAUUCUGCCAUUCAGUCACCCAUCCUCAUCCUCUCACUCUCUCAUGUUCUCACUCCACUCUCCUCUCCCAGCUUCUCUUCAUCCAUUCAGUGUUGACAUCCCAAAGUGUCCAUUCAUCUCUCAAUAUCUGUAUGCAUUCAUAUCCCACUUGUUCCCUUCCAUCAUUCUGGGCCUUCUCUUUUGCUCUCUCUCAAGAGUUUUUCCUAGGAUACAAUCAUUUCUCAUAUGACUCUUUAUUCAGACUCUUCUCUCUGAGCUUUCCCUCCUUUUUUUAAAAUUGGAUCUUGACUUCUCGUAGCCUUGGCUAUCUAUUUUAUCCACUUUCCAUAUUUUAGUUCUUCGGCUUUCUGGCCCACCUUCCUGUCUCACAAUCUUCAGGUACAAAUCUUUCAUUCAGUACAUCUCCAUUUCCAUAUAACUAUUCUCACUCCCUUUGCUCUUUCCCCAUUUAUCCAACUCUUUCAGUCUUGGGUCCUCUUCUACUAGUAGCUUGCGUUUCCCUACCUGAAUAACAACAAAAUCUACCUGAUUCAGUCUUCAGAUCCAUUAUGUUCCCCUGCUGAUGUAUCUUUUUCUAAACCUUUCACUCUGCUGCCUUGUCAUCCCAUUCAUUUCUCCUUCCCUCACUGUCCCUUUCCAAAUCUUUUUCAUUCAAUCUCACCAGUCAUUCUUCCUUUCUUUGGUGCUUUCAAAUUCAAUCAUUUCUCCUUGCACGCCUCUUAUCAUUCAUUCCUUUUUCUUAUUGAAUUUGACUAUUCCUUCAAGUAUCAGAGGUUGGGUCUCUCCUUUCAUUCCUGUCUUUCUAGUCUCUGUGUGUCACAUUCUCACAUUCACUGCAUCUGGAUUUCUCACUCUACUUUUCUCUCUCUUUCUCUUUAGUCACUCAACUCUCAUUGUCUUAAACUUUCAUACCAACAAUCUCACAUUUUCUCACUCAUUUUCUUGUUUUCACAGUGUAAAAAAACGUUCAUCCAUCUCACACCACAUACUCCUUGCCAUUCAUCCAUUCCUUCUAAUUGAGAUUUGACAGUCACUCAUGAUCAGAGUUUGGGUCUCUCCAUUCAUUCUUUUAUUCUGCCAUUCAGUCACCCAACAUCAUCAUCUCACUCUCUUAUUUUCUCACUCAUUUUUUUUUCACAAUGGCCCGGCCUCUUCUGUAUUCAUACAUACUCUAUUAGUACUAGACCUAAACUCUUCUCUGCCCUUCUACAGCUCAAUGACCCCUUGACCACACAAACAUGAAGUUUCUCUUUUCAUACACUGGACACAACUGAGCUUGCUAGAUUUAGCCACACAGCCUCCAGGGGACAGCUUUGUCUCUUCACACCAUGUUCAUUCAGUACAUCCCUUCUCUCAUCCUUCACUCCUCCUUCACUCCUUCAAGCAGAUUUUGCAAACAGCCAAUUAUCACUUCCACUCUUCACCAUUUACAUACAUGUUCUCCAAUGGCUCUUUAGCAGCGAGGUAAACUUGACUCUCACCCCUCUCACCUUUCAUCCUUUCAUGGUUUUGAAAUUUUGCAGCUGAUCAUCCUUCAUGGCUUUGGUUCCUGCUUUCACAUACACACUACCACAUACAGAUAUUUCCACCCAAGUAUCUCUUACUUGCGUACAAGUCUCUUUCAAUACAUUACACUCAUUUGCUCUCUCUUUUCAUACACUGCUCAUUCUUUUUGUGUCUCUCUCCAUCCAUCUCUUUUUUCUCACUGUCUCCAUUCAGACCCCUUUAAAUUUCUAGGUUUAUCUUCCUUUUUCCUUUCUCUCUGAGUUUUAGACAUGCAUGGUUCGCUGUUCUUUAUAUCUCUUUUCCUAUUCUUUGCAUAUCUCUCAAGUGUCUAAAUUCAUCCAUUUCCCAUAGUCUAGGCAUCAACCUGCAUUCCUGUCUCCCUCUCUCACUCACUGUGCCUAACUCUCUUUGGAUGUGACUCCUCAGUUUUGCUUCUCCUUCCUGUGCUCCUCAAUUCAGCCAUCCCUCACUGCAUACACUGCCAUUCAUGCAUUCCUUCUCACUGAGAUUUGACAAUCACUCGUGUAUCAGAGUUUGGGUCUCUCCAAUCAUUCUUGGUUCUGCCAUUCAAUCACCCAUACUCAUCCUUUCACUCUCAUUUGCUCACUGCACUCUCCUCUCCCAACUUCUCCAUCCAUUCAAUUUUGACCUCCCAGUAUAUCCAUUCAUCCCCAAAUUUUUCACUCUUUUUGUUUUCACAGUGGCCCGGCCUCUUCUGUAUUCAUUCAUGCUCUGUUAGUACUAGACAUAAACUCUUCUCUGCCCCCCUGUAACUCCAUGACCCCAUUGACCACACAAACAUGGAGUUUCUCCUUUCAUACAUUGGUCACACGCUAGCUCACUAGAUUUAGCCACAUAGCCCACAGGGAGCAGUGUUGUUUUUCCACAUCAUGCCCAUUCAGUCCAUCACCUCUCUCAUCCUUCACUCCUUCAGGUAGAGUUGGAAACAUCCAAUCAUCACUUUUAUUCUUCACCAUUUCCUUGUAAGUUCUUCAAUGGCUUUUUAGCAGUGUGGUAAACUUGACUCUCACCCUCUCACCUUGCAUCGUUUUCAUUGUUUUCCUGUUUUUCAGCUAUUCAUCCUUCAUAGUUAUGGCUUCUGCUUCCACACACACACACUGAAAAGCACACUUAUUUCCAGCCAAAUAUCUUUUCUGUGCGUGACAGGGCUAUUUCCAUACAUCACACACUCUCUUGCUGUCUCUUUCCACAUAUUGCUCACUCUUUUGGUGUCUCUCUCCAUCCAUGUUUUAUUUCUCACUCUCUCCAUUUGGAUCUCUCUCACUGUCUAGGUCUCUCAUGCCUUUGUUUUCUGUCUCUGAGUUCUAGACAUUCUGGUUUCUCAGCUGCUUAUAACUCUUUAUUCAUUCCUAUCACAUCAUUUGAGUGUCUAUUUCAUCCAUUUCCCCCAGUCUAGGUCUCAAUAUGGAUUCCUUUCUCCCUCUCUCAGUCACUGUGGCUAUUACUCUUUGCAUGUGUCUCCUCAGUUCUGCUUCUCCUCCCUGUGCUCCUCAAUUCAGCCAUCUCUCACCACAAAUUUCUUGCCAUUCAUGCAUUCCUUCUCAAUAAGAUUUAACAGUCAUUCAUGUAUCAGAGUUUGGGUCUCUCCAUCCAUUCUUUUAUGUCUGACAUUCGGUCACCCAUCUUCAUCCUCUCACUCUCAUUUUCCCUCUCCUUUUCUUACUCUCCUCUCCUCUUCCUAAUUCUCUUCAUCCAUUCAAUUCUCUCCUCCCAGUAUAUCCAUUCAUCCCUCAAUUUCUGUAUAAUACUUGUCCUACUUGUUCCCUUAAUCUGUCUAGACCUUCUCUCUCCCUCAGGGAUUUUCCCUAGGACAAGGUCAGUUCUCAUACUGUAUUGAUUCAGCUUCCUCUCCCUGAGCUUAUCCGUGCUAGUAUUGUUUAUUAAAUCUUCACCAUUUUCAUUUUCUCAUAGGCUCAGUUAUCUCUAUUUUUCCACAUUCUCUACUUCUUUGGCUUUCCAAACCACUUAACUGUGUCAUGAUCUGCAACAACAAAUCUUUCAUUGAGUACAUCUCUAUUAUCAUCUAUCUCUUGCUCACUUUCCAGCUCUGUCCAUCUAGUGUUAUCUUUCCCUCUUUCCACCUUCAUUGUAUUCUUUGAGUUCUGGCUCCUCUUUUCCUACUAUCUUGCCUUUUACUUCCUGAAUAUUGGAAUCAUCUAUCUCUUUUAUUCUAAGUAUUCAUUGGGCUCCUGUGCAGAAAUAUCUCCUUUUCUAUACUUUUGACUUUGUUAACUUGUUUAUCCAUUUAUUUCCCCUUCUCUGUGUUCUUCUCCAAAUGUUUCUCUUUCAUCCAAUCUCACUAAUCAUACUUUUUCUUUGCUGCUCCCCCAUUCAGUCACCUCACAUUGCCUUCUCUUUCCACUCACCCUUUUUCUUAUUGGAAUUUGACUGUCUCCUCAAGUAUCAGAGGUUGGGUCUCUCCUUUCACUCCUCUCUUUAUGGUCUCUGGGUCUCACAUUCUCACCUUUACCCCAUCUGGAUUUCUCAAUCCAUUCUCCUCUCUCUCUCUCUUUAGCCACUUAUCUCUCAUCUUCUGUAUAUAGCCAGUUAUUUAUCACAUACAGUUAACCGUGCUCUACACAUACAAAGGCCAACAUCUUAUUUCAUACAAGUGUCUCACUCUCCAGUGUUAUUUCUAGCAGCCAGAUCUCACCAGUCCCUAUCCACAUGCAUCUGUCUCUACCUCGGUGGUUCCUUAGAGCCACUCUAUCUCCUUGUCCUCUGAAAUCUUGGCUUUAGCCCUUUGCUUAGCAGCUCAUCCUUUAUUACUUCCCAUUUUGCUUUCUCCCUUUGUUAAAUUGACAGAAAUCUCUGCCCAGGCAUCUCUCACUCCAGAGCAUUUCCAUCCUCACAUUUCUCACUUCCUUGACCUUUUGUACCAACAAUCUCACAUUUUCUCAUACAUUUUAUUUUUUUUUCACAGUGGCCCGGCCUCUUCUGUAUUCAUUCAUGCUCUAUUAGUACUAGACUUAAAUCACUGUCUGCCCUUCUGCAGCUCAAUGAUCCCUUGACCACACAAACCUGGAGUUUCUCCUUUCAUACAUCGGUCACAUGCUAGCUCACUAGAUGUAGCCGCAUAGCCCACAGGGAGCAGUGUUGUUUCUCCACAUCAUGCCCAUUCAGUCCAUCACUUCUCUCAUCCUUCAAUCCUUCAGGCAGAGUUUGCAAACAAGCAAUCAUCACUUUCACUUUUUACCAUUUACUUGCACAUUCUCCAAUGGCUCUUUUGCAGCGAAGCAUAUUUGACACUCACCCUCUCAUCUUUCAUCCUUUCACGGUUUAGAUAUUUUUUUCAGGAAUCCAUCCUUCAUUACUAUGGCUUCUGCUUUCACACACACUCAAUGCAAAAUAGAUAUUUCCAAACAAGUGUCUCAUAUAAAUAUAUAUAUAUAUCUUUCAGUACAUCAUUCACUCUGUGCUCUCUCUUUUGAUACAGUGCUCAUUCUUUCUGUGUCUCCAUCGAUCCAUCUCUCAUUUUUCACUGUCUCCAUUCAGAACCCUCUCCCUCACUGUCUUAAUCUCUUUCCUUUGUUUUCUGUCUCAUGUGUCUAAAUUCAUCCAUUUUCCACAGUAUACAUCUCAUCACGUAUUCCUUUCUCUCUGUCUCAGGAACCCUAGUAACUGUUUCUCCUUGGAUUUGGCUCCUCAGUUUUACUUCUCCUCCUUGUGCUCCUCACUUCAAACAUCCCACACUACAUCCUUCCUGCUAUCCAUGCGUUCUUUCUCAUUGAGAUUUGACAGUCAUUCAUUUAUCAGAGUUUGGGUCUCUCCAUUCAUUCUUUGGUCCUACCAUUCAGUCACCCAUCCUCUUCUUCUCACUCUCUCAUGUUCUCACUCCACUCUCCUCUCCCAACUUCUCUUCAUCCAUUGAAUUUCAACACCCCAGGAUAUCCAUUCAUCCCUCAAUAUCUAUAUGCAUACAUGUCCCACUUGUUCCCUUCUAUCAGUCAGGGCCUUCUUUCUCUCUCUCUCUCUCUCUCUCUCUCUCUCUCUAGGGUUUUCCCUUAGGAUACAAUCAUUUCUCAUAUGGCUGUUGAUUCAGGUUCUUCUCUCUGAGCUUUCCCUGCUCCUUUUUUUUGUAACAUCUUGACCUUUUUGCAGCCUCAGCUAUCUCUAUUUUCUCCACCUUCCAUUCUUUAUUUCAUAGGCUUUCCAGCGCACCUUUCUGUCUCACAAUUGUCACCUAUAAACCUUUCAGUAUAUCCCCUUUUUCAUAUAACUCUCACUCCCUUUGUCUCUUUUCCCAUUUAUCCAACUCUUUCAGUCUUGGGUCCUCUUCUAGUAGCUUGCAUUUCCCUACCUGAAUAACAACAAAAUCUACCUGGUUCAGUCUUCAAAUCCAUUAUGUUCCCCUGCUGAUGUAUCUUUUGCUAAAUUUUUCACUCUAUUGAUUUGUCUUCCCAUUCAUUUCUCCUUCUCUGUGUUCUCCCAAUGUUUCUCUUUCAUUCAAUUUCACCAGUCAUUGUUCCUUUCUUUCGUGCUCCCCCAUUCAGUCACCUCACAUUGCCUUCUCUUUCCACUCACCCUUUUUCUUAUUGGAACUUGACUGUCCCCUCAAGUAUCAGAGGUUGGGUCUCUCCUUUCACUCCUCUCUUUAUGGUCUCUGGGUCUCACAUUUUCACCUUCGCCCAUCUGGAUUUCUCAGUCCAUUCUCCUCUCUCUCUCUUUAGCCACUCACCUUUCAUCGUCUGUAUAUAGCCAGUUAUCCAUCACACACAGUUAACCUUACUCUACACAUACAAGGCCCAACAUCUUAUUGAAUACAGGUUUUUGACUCUCCAGUGAUAUUUGUAGCAGCCAGAUGUCACUAGUCCCUAUCCACAUGUUCUUGUCUCUACCUCAGUGGUUCCCUAGAGCCACUCUAUCUGCUUGUCUUCUAAAUUCUUUGCUUUCUCCCUUUGCUCAGCAGCCCAUCCUUGAUUGUUAACCAUUCUGCUUUCUCAUUUUGGUGUAUUGACCAAUAUCUUUAUACAGGCACCUCUCACUCCAGAACAUUUCCACCUUCACACAUCUCACUUUUGACCUUUUGUACCAGCACCUUCACAUUUUCUCACUCUUUGUUUUUCACAGUGGCCCGGCCUCUUCUGUAUUCAUUCAUGCUCUAUUAGUAUUAGACCUAAACUCUUCUCUGCUUCCCCUGUAGCCCAAUGAUCCCUUGACCACACAAACCUGAAUUUUUCCUUUCCUACAUUGGUCACAGUCAAGCUCACUAGAUUUAGCCGCGCAUCCCCCAGGGGAAAGCUUUUUUUCUCUUCACACCAUGCUCAUUCAGUCCAUCACUUCUCUCAUCCUUUACUCCUUCAUGCAGAUUUUCUGAACAGCCAAUCAUCGCUUUCACUCUACACCAUUUAUUGCAUGGUCUCCAAUGGUUCUUUUGCAGCAGAGCAUUUUUGGCUCUCACCCUCUCACCUUUCAUCCUUUCAUAAUUUUUUUGUUUGUCAGCUAUUCAUCCUGCAUGUUUUGGGCUUCUGCUUUCACAUACACACUGCAAAGUACAGGUAUUUCCAACCAGAAUUUCUUACUUGCAUACAGAUCUCUUUCAAUCCAUUACAUACUCUCUUUCUCCAUUAAUACAUUAUUCAAUCCCUUGCUCUCUGUUUCCACAUACUGCUCACUCUUUUGGUUUCUCUCUCCAUCCAUCUCUUAAUUCAUACUUUCUCCACUUGGAAACCCUACAAAGUCUAGGUCUCUGUUUCCUUUAUUUUCUGCCUCUGACUUUUAGCCAUUCAGGUUUCUCAGCUCCUUAUACCUCUUUUCCCAUUCAUUUCACAUCACUCAAGUAUCUAAAUUCCUCCAUUUUCCACAGUCUAGGUCUCAACACAUGUUCCUUUCUACUUCUUUCAGGGACCCUAAAACUCUUUCUUUUUGGAUGUGGCUGCUCAGUUUUGCUUCUCCUCCCUGUGCUCCUCAGUUCAGCCAUUUUACACUGCAUCCUUCCUGCCAUUCAUGCAUUCCUUCUCAUUGAGAUUUAACAGUCACUCAUUAUCAGAGUUUGGGUCUCUGCAUUCAUUCUUUCAUUCUGCCCUUCAGUCACCCAUCCUCAUCCUCUCACUCUCUCAUUUUCUCACUCCACCCUCCGCUCCCAACUUCUCUUCAUCCAUUCAAUGUUGACAUCCCAAAGUAUCCAUUCAUCUCUCAAUAUCUGUACACAUACAUGUCCCACUUGUUCCCUUCCAUCAGUCUAGGCCUUGUCUCUGCCUCAGGGACUUUUCCUAGGGCACAGUCAUCUCUCAUCCUGCUCUUCAUUCAGCUUCCUAUCCCUGAGCCUUUCCUUCUUAGUUUUGAUUGUUGAAUGUUCAGCAUCUAGACCUUUUCACAGUCCCUGUAAUCUCUAUUUUCUCCACCUUCCCCAGUUGAAUUCUUGGGCUUUCCUACUCAUCUCACUGUCUCAUGAUCUGCAGCUACAAAUCUUACAUUCAAUAUUUCUCCAUUUCUAGAUAUCUCUUACUCACUUGCUAUCUAGUGUUAACUUUCCAUCUUUCUCUAUUCAUUUAACUCUUGGGUUUUCUUCUAAUAGUGUCUUGACUUUUACUUCCUAUAUAUCACUACAAUCUACCUCCUCUAUUCUAAUUAUCCAUUGGGCUCCCCUGCAGGUAUAUCUCCUUUUCUACACCUUUCACACUGUCAACUUCUCUUCCCAUUCAAUUCCCCUUCUCUGUGUUCUUCUCCCCAUGUUUCUCUUUCAUUCAAUCUCACAGAUCAUUCUACUUUCUUUCAUGCUCCCCCAUUCAGUCAUCUCACAUUGCAUUCCUCGUUCCAUUCAUCUUUCUUUCUUAUUGGAACUUGACUGUUCCCUCAAGUAUCAGAAGUUGGGUCUCUCCUCUCACCCUUUUCUUUUGGCCUUUGUGUCUUACAUUCUCACUUUUAGCCCAUCUGGAUUUCUUACUCUACUUUCCCCUCUCAUUCUCUUUAGCCGCUCAUCUCUCAUGUUCUUCAUAUGGCCAAUUAUCCAACACUCAGAGUUGCCCUUGCUCUACACAUUCAAGUCCCUUAUUUCACAAAGGUGUCUGACUCUCCAGUGAUAUUUGUACCAGCCACAUCUCGCUAGUCUUUAUCAAUAUGUCCCUGUGUCUACCUUGUUGGUUCCCUAGAGCCACUCUAUCUUCUUGUCUUCUGAAAUCUUGGCUUUUUCCCUUUGUUCAGCAGCCCGUCCUUGAUUGUUUCCCAUUCUGUUUUCUCACUUCGGUGUUUUGACAGAUAUCUUAUCCAGGCACCUCUCACUCCAGAGCAUUUCCACCUUUACACAUCUCACACUCUUAACCUUUCAUACCAGCAAUAUUACAUUUUCUCACUCUAAUUUUUCACAGUGGCCCGGCCUCUUCUGUAUUCAUUCAUGCUCUAUUAUGACUAGACCUAAACUCUUCUCUGCCCCCUAUAGCUCAAUGAUCCCUUAAUCACACCAACCUGGAAUUUCUCACUUCAUUAAUACAUACAUAUAUACAUACAUACAUACAUACAUACAUAUAAUUGAGCUUCCUAGAUUUAGCCGUAGAACCCCCAGGAGACAGCUUUGUCUCUCCACACCAUGCUCAUUCAGUCCAUCACUUCUCUCAUCCUUCAGGUAGAUUUUGCAAACAGCCAAUCAUCACUUUCGGUUUUCAUCAUUUACUUGCACAUUCUCCAAUGGCUCUUUUGCAGUGAAGCAUAUUCGACACUCACCCUCUCAUCUUUCAUCCUUUCAUGGUUUUGUUGUUUGUCAACUAUUCAUCCUGCAUGGCUUAGGCUUCUGUUUUCACACACAUACUACAAAGCAGGGCAGUUAUUUCCAUCCAAGAAUCUCUUACUUGUGUAGAGGUCUCUUUCACUUUAUUACACACUCUCUUGCUCUCUCCAUCCAUACAUUAUUCAAUCUCUUGCUCUCUCUUUCUAUUCAUGGCUCAUUCUCUUGGUGUCUCCCUCCAUCCAUUUCUUAUUUCUCCAGUCAGAUCCCUCUCACUAUGUAAGUCUCUCUUGCCUUUGUUUUCUCUCUCUGACUUAGACAUUCAGGUUUCUCACUUCUUAUAUGUCUUUAUUCAUUCCUUUCAUAUCACUCAAGUGUCUAAAUACAUCCAUAUCCCAUAGUCUAGCCUUCAACAUGUAUUCCUUUCUCCAUCUCUCAAGUAAUAGUUACUAAACUAUUUCCCUUUGCAUGUGGCUCCUCAGUUUUACUUCUCCUCCCUGUGCUUCUCAAUUCAGCCACCUCACACCACAUACUUCUUGUCAUUCAUGCAUUGCUUCUCAUUGAGACUUGACAAUCAUUCAUGUAUCAGAGUUUGGGUCUCUCCAUUCAUUCUUUCAUCCUGCCAUUCAGACACCCAUCCUCAUCCUCUCACUCUCAUUUUCUCACUCCAUUCUCCUUUCCCAAUUUCUCUUCAUCCAUUCAAUGUCGACACCCCAGGAUACUCUCAUCUCUCAUUAUCUGUAUACAUACAUGUCCCACUUGUUCUCUUUAUCUGUCUUGGCCUUUUCUCUCCCUCAGGGAUUUUUCCUAUGACUCAGUUAUCUCUCAUACAUCUCUUGACAUUUCCUCUCCCUAAGCCUUAUAAUCUCUGUUUUCUCCACCUUCCUCACAUCCCUUCUUCGUCUUUUGAAUACUCCUCACUACCUCACGAUCUGCAGCUACAAAUCUUAGAUUCAAUACAUCUCCAUUUCUAGAUCUCUUACUCACUUGCUAGCCAGUGUUAACUUUGCCUCUUUCUCCAUUCAUUUAACUCUUGGGUUCUCUUCUAAUAAUAUCUUGACAUUUACAACCUGUAUAUCACCACAAUAUAUCUCCUUUACUCUAAAUAUCCAUUGGGUUCUCCUUUUCUAGACCUAUGAAUCUGAUGUGUUCCCAAUUAUUUCCCCUUCUUUCAGUGUUCAUUUCCAAACAUUUCUCCUACAUUAAAUCCCAUCAAUCAUUCUUUCUUCCUCUCCUGCUCCCCAAUUCAGUCAAGUCACAAUGCCUUCUCUUACUAUUCACCCUGUUCCCUUAUUGGCAUUUGACUAUCCCUUCAAGUAUCAGAGGUUGGGUCUCUCCUUUCACUCCUGUCUUGAUGGUAUCUCUGUGUCACAUUCUCACCUUCACCCAAUCUGGAUUUCUCAGUCCACUCUCUCUCUUUGGCCACUCAUCUCACAUGUUCUGGAUAUGGCCAAUUAUCCAUCGCUCAGAGUCACCCUUGCUCUAUGCACGCAAAUCCCAUUCAACAUUUUAUUUCACACAAGUGUCUGACUCUCCAGUGAUUUAUAGCAGUCAUAUCUCAUAACUCCCUAUCAACAUUUACCUAUCUCUACCUCGGUGUUUCCCUAGAGCCACUCUAUCCCCUUUUCUUCUGAAAUCUUGGCUUUCUCCUUUUCCUCAGCAGACUAUGCUUGAUUGUUUCCCAUUCUGCUUUCUCAUUUUGGUGUAUUGACAGAUAUCUUUACACAGGCACCUCUCACUCCAGAACAUUUACACCUUCACACGUCUCACACUCUUGACCUUUUGUACUGGGAAUCUCACAUUUUCUCAUUCCUUGUUUUUCACAGUGGCCCGGCCUCUUCUGUAUUCAUUCAUGCUGUUAGUACUAGACAUAAACUCUUCUCUGCCCCCCUAUAGCUCAAUGAUCCCUUGACCACACAAAUCUGGAGUUUCUCCUUUCAUAUAUCUGUCACAAUCGAGCUCUGAAGUUUUAGCCACACAGCCCCCAGGGGAAAGCUUUUUUUCUCUCCACACCAAGCUCAUUCAGCACAUCACUGCUCUCAUCCUUCACUCCUUCAGGCAGAUUUUGUAAACAGCCAAUCAUCACUUUACUCUUCACCAUUUACUUGCAUGUUCUCCAAUGGCUCUUUGCAGCAUAGCAUAUUUGACUCAUUCUCUCACCUUAUAUCCUUUCAUGGUUUUACUAUUUUUAAGCUAUUCAUCCUGCAUGGCUUAAGCUUCUGCUUUCACACUCACUGCAAAGCACUGUUAUUUCCAUCCAAGAAUAUUUAACUUGUACAUGGGUCUUGUUCAGUAGAUUAAACAUGCUCAUAAUCUCUCCAUCCGUACAUUACCCACUUUCUUGCUCUCACUUUCCAUACAUUAUGGACUCUCUUGCUCUUUCUUUCCAUACAUUGCUCACUCUUUUGGUAUCUCUCUCCAUCCAUCUCUUUUUUCACACUCUCCAGUUGGAUCCCUCUCGCUUUUUAGGUCUCUCUUCCUUUUGUUUUCGAUAUCUGACUUUUAGCCAUUCAUGGUUCCCAGCUUCUUAUACUCCUUUAUUCAUUCCUUUCACAUUACUCAAGUGUCUAAACUACUCUAUUUUCCACAAUCUAGCUCUCAACAUGAAUUCCUUGCUCCCUCUCUCAGGCAUCCUAGUAACUAUAUCUCUUUGAAUGUGCUCCUCAGUUUUGCUUCUCCUCCCUGUGCUUCUCACUCUCAUCUCAUACUGCAUCCUUUUUGCCAUUCAUACAUUGCUUUUCAUAGAGAUUUGACAGUCACUCAUUAUCAGAGUUUGGGUCUCUCCAUUCAUUCUUUCAUUCUGCCCUUCAGUCACCCAUCCUCAUCCUCUCACUCUCUCAUUUUCUCACUCCACUCUUCUCCCAAUUUUUCUUCAUCUAUUCAAUGGAUUCAACACCCCAAAAUAUCCAUUCAUCUCUCAAUAUCUGUACACAUACAUGUUCUACUUGUUCCCUUCAUCUGUCUGGGCCUUCUCUCUCCCUCAGGGACUUUUCCUAGGACACAGUCAGCUCUCAUACUGCUCUUCAUUCAGCUUUCUAUCACUGAACCUUUCUUUCCUAGUUUUGAUUGUUGAAUGUUGAGCAUCUAGACCUUUUCACUGUCCCUGUAAUCUCUAUUUUCUCCACCUUCCCCACUUGAUUUCUUGGGUUUUCCUACUCACCUCACUGUCUCACGAUCUGCAGCUACAAAUCUUACAUUCAAUAUGUCUCCAUUUCUAGAUAUCUCUUACUUGCUAUCCAGUAUUAACUUUGCCUCUUUCUCCAUUCAUUUAACUCUUGGGUUCUCUUCUAAUACUGUCUUGCUUUUACUACCUGUAUAUCACCACAAUCUACUUUCUUUACUCUAAGUAUCCAUUGGGUUCCCCUGUAGGUAUAUCUCCUUUUCUAGACCUUUCACACUGUCAACUUCUCUUCCCAUUCAUUUCCCCUUCUCUCUGUUCUUCUCUAAAUGUUUCUCUUUCAUCCAAUCUCACUGAUCAUUCUUUCUUCCUUUGCUGAUCCUCAAUUCUGUCAUUUCACAUUGCAUGACUUUUACCAUUCACCCUGUUCCCUUAUUGUAAUUUGAUUUUUUUCUUCAAUUAUCAGAGGUUGGGUCUCUCCUUUUACUCUUGUGUUUUGGCCUUUGUGUCUCACAUUCUCACCUUCACCCCAUCUGGAUUUCUCAGUUCAUUCUCCUCUCUCUCUUCAGCCACUCAUCUCUCAUCUUUAAUCUUACUCAUAAGGCCAAUUAUCCAUCUCUCAGAGUUGCCCUUGCUCUACACAUUCAAGUCCCAUUCAAGAUCUCAUUUCACACAAAUGUCUGACACUCAGGUGGUAUUUGUAGCAGCCAGGUCUCACUAGUCCCUAUCCACAUGUAUCUGUGUCUACCUCAGUGGUUCCCUGGAGCCACUCUAUCUCCUUGUCUUCUGAAAUCUUUGCUUUCUACCUUUGCUCAGCAGCCCAUCCUUUAUUAUUUCCCAUUCUGUUUUCUCACUUUGGUGUAUUGACAGCUAUCUUUACACAGGCACCUCUCACUCCAGAACAUUUCCACCUUCACAUGUCUCACACUUUUGAUCUUUUGUACCAGCAAUCUUAUAUUUUCUCACUCAUUCUUUUUUCACAGUAGCCCGGCCUCUUCUGUAUUCAUUCAUGUUCUAUGAGUACUAGACUAAACUCUUAUCUGCCCCCACCCCCCACCCCAUAGCCCACUGAUCCCUUGACCACACCUGGAGUUUCUCCUUUCAUACAUUGGUCACAGUCGAGCUCGCUAGAUUUAUCCGCGCAGUCCCCAGGGGAAAGCUUUAUUUUUCCACACCACACUCAUUCCAUACAUCACUUCUCUCAUCCUUCACUACUUCAGGUAGAUUUUCUAAACAGGCAAUCAUCACUUUCACUCUUCACCAUUUUCUUGCAUGUUCUCCAAUGGCUCUUUUGCAGCGUAGCAUAUUCGGUUCUCACCCUCUCACCUUUCAUCCUUUCACAGGUUUGAUAUUUUUAAGCUAUUCAUGCUUCAUGCUUAGGCUUCUGCUUUCACACACACAGCAAAGUACAAUUUUUUUUUCCCAGCGAAGUAUCUCUUUCUUGCAUAUGGGGCUCAUUCAAUACAUGACAUACUCUCUUGGUCUCUCUUCCCAUACAUUGCUCAUACUUCUGGUCUCUCUCCAACCAUCUCUUAUUUCUCACCAUCUCCAUUUAGACCUUUCUCACUGGCUAGGUUCAUCUUUCCUUUAUUUCCUGUCUCUGGGUUCUCAGCUCCUUAAACCCCUUUCCCCAUUCCUUUCCCAUCCCUCAGGUAUCUAAAUUCAUUUAUUCCCCACAGUCUAGUUCUCAACAUGGAUCAUUCCUUUCUCCCUCUCUCUGUCACUGUGGCUAACUAUUUCUCUUUGGGUUUGUCUUUUCAGUUUUGCUUUUCCUCCUUGUACUCCUCAGUUCAGUCAUCCCACACCACAAACUUCUUGACAUUCAUGCGUUCCUUCUCAACGAGAUUUGACAGUCAUUCAUGUAUCAGAGUUUGGGUCUCUCCAUUCAUUCUUUGCUUCUGCCAUUCAGUCACUCAUCCUCAUCUUCUCGCUCUCUCAUUUUCUCACUCCACUCUCCUCUCCCAAUUUUUCUGCAUCUACUUACUUUUGCCACUCCAGGAUAUCCAUUCAUCCCUCAAUAUCUGUAUGCCUACAUGUCCCAUUUGUUCCCUUCCAUGAGUCUGGGCCCUCUCUCUCUCUCUCUCUCUCUCUCUCUCUCUCUCUCUCUUUCUCUCUCUCUCUCUCACACACACACACACACGGAUUUUUUCUGUGACAUCAUCUCUCAUACUGCUUAUUAAAUCUUCAGCCUCUUGACCUUCUCAUAGCUUUGGCUAUCACUCUUUUCUCCACCUUUCCUAUUUAAUUCUUUUAAACUCCUAUUUAAUUCUUAUUAAAUCCUAUUUAAUUCCAGCCCACCUUCCUGUCCCAUGAGCUUCAGGAACAACUCUUUCAUUCAAUACACCUCCAUAUCUACAAAGGUCUCUCACUUUCCCCCUCUCUCCAUCCAUUGUUUCCCUCUUUCUCUAUUCAUUUAAGUCUUGGGUUCUCUUCAAUUAGUGUCUUGACUUUUACUACCUGUAUAUGACAACCACAAUCUACUUCCUUUAUUCUAAGUACCCAUUGGGAUCCCCUGCAGAUAUAUCUCCUUUUCUAUACCUGUGAAUCUAUUAACAUGUAUUCCCAUUCAUUUCCCCUUCUCUCACUGUUCUUCUCCCAAUGUUUUUCUUUCAUUCAAUCUCACAGAUCAUCCUACUUUCUUUUGUGCUCCCCCAUUCAGUCAUCUCACACUGCAUUUCUCGCUCUAUUCAUCCUUCUUUCUUAUUGGAACUUGACUGUUCCCUCAAGUAUCAGAGGUUGGGUCUCUCCUUUCACUCCUCUCUUUGUGGGCUCUGCAUCUCACAUUCUCACAUUCAUGCCAUGUGGAUUUGUCAGUCCACUCUCCUCUCUUUCUCAUUAGCCACUCAUCUUUCAUCUUCUCCCUAUGAAGAAUUAUCCAUCACACACAGUUGCCCUUGCUUCACACAUUCAAGUCCCAUCAACAUCUUAUUUCCCACAGAUGUCUCACACAUAGGUGGUAUCUGUAGCAGCCACAUCUCACUAGGCCCUAUCAACAUGUACCUGUGUCUACCUCAGUGAUUCCUUGGAGCCACUCUAUCUCCUUGUCUUCUGAAAUCUUGGCUUUCUCUUUUUCAUCUGCAGACCAUUCUGAUGCUUCCCAUUCUGCUUUCAUACUUUAUUGACUUGGCAGGAAUGUUGACACAGGCAUCUUGCACUCCAUAGCAUUUCCAUCCUCAUGUGUCUCAUUCUCUUCACCUUUCACACCAGAAUCUCACAUUUUCUCUAUUUUUCACAGUGGCCCGGCCUCUUCUGUAUUCAUUCAUACUCUCUUACUACUACACCUAAGCCCCCCUGUAGCUCCAUCACCCAUUGAUCACACGAACAUGAAGUUUCUCCUUUUCAUACAUCAGUUACAAGUGAGCUCACUAGAUUUAGCUUCUCCGCACCACACCUAUUCAUUUUAUUGCUUCUCUCAUUGUUCACUCCUUUGGGUAGAUUUUUUAAACAGCCAGUAAUCACUUUCUCUCUUCACCAUUUUCUUACAAGUUUCCAAUGGCCCUUUACCAGCAUAGUAUACUCUCACCCUGUCAACUUUCAUCCUUUCAUGGUUUUACUGUUUUUCAGCUAUUCAUCCUUCAGGGCUUAAGGCUUCUACUUUCACACACACACACUGCAAAGCACAUUUAGUUUCAUCUGAGAAUCUCUUACUUUAUGUACAGUCCCUUUUGUUCGAUCACACUGUCUCUUGCUCUCUUUAUCUGAACAUUAUUCAGUCUCUUGCUCUCUCUUUCCAUAUAUUACUCAUGCUUUUGGUGUCUCCAUUCAUCUCUUAUUUCUUACUAUUUCUAGUUGGAUUUCUCUCAGUGUCCAGAUCUCUUUUAUUUUUUUUCUGUCUCUGAUAUUCAUGGUUCCCAGCUCAUUAUACCUCUUUAUUCAUUCCUUUCAAAUCACUCAAGUGUCUAAAUUCGUGCAUUUCCCACAGUUUAGGCCUCAACAUGAGAUUCCUUUCUCCCUCUCUCAUUCACUGUGGCUAACAACUCUCUUUGGAUGUGAGUCCUCAGUUUUGCUUCUCUUCCCUGUGCUCCUCAAUUCAGCCAUCUCUCCCUGCAUACACUAUGCCAUUCAUGCAUUCUUUCUCAGUGAGAUUUGACAGUCACUCGUGUAUCAGAGUUUGGGUCUCUCCAAUCAUUCUUGGUUCUGCCAUUCAGUCACCCAUACUCAUACUCUCACUCUCAUUUGCUCACUCCACUCUCCUCUCCCAACUUCUCCAUCCAUUCGAUUCUGACCUCCCAGUAUAUCCAUUCAUCCCCAAAUUUUUCACCCUUUUUGUUUUCACAGUGGCCCGGCCUCUUCUGUAUUCAUUCAUGCUCUGUUAGUACUAGACAUAAACUCUUCUCUGCCCCCCUGUAGCUCCAUGACCCCACUGACCACACAAACAUGGAGUUUCUCCUUUCAUACACUGGUCACAAUCGAGCUUGCUAGAUUUAGUUGCGCAGCCCCCAGGGGACAGCUUAGUCUCUCCACACCACACCCAUUCAGUACAUCACUUCUCCCAUCCUUCACUCAAUCAUCACUUCACCAUUUACUUGCAUGUUCUCCAGUGGCUCUUCAGCAGCAUAGCAUAUUUCAUUCUCAUCUUGCAUCUUUUCAUGGUUUUGCUGUUUUUCAGCUAUUCAUCCUUCAUGGCUAUGGCUUCUGCUUACACACACACACACACACACACACACACACACACACACACACAUGCAUAUAUACACACCCAUACACACGCACAUACACACAUGUGUGCGCACACAUACACAGGCACACGCACACAUGCACAUACACACGUGCGCACACAUGCACAUACACGUGCGCGCACACACACGUGCGUCCAUGCGCGCGCACACACACACACACACACACACACACACACACACACUGCAAAACAUACUUAUUUCCAGCCAAAUAUCUUUUUUGUGCGUGACAGGGCUAUUAACACACAUCACUCACUCUCUUGCUCUCUCUUUCCAUACAUUGCUCAUGCUUUUGAUGUCUCUCUCCUAUUUCUCCCUAUCUCUAGUUGGAUUUCUCUCAGUGUCCACAUCUCUUUUCCUUUUGUUUUCUCUCUCUGAGUUCUAGACAUUCAGGUUUCUUAGCUCCUCAUACCUCUUUACCCAUUCUUUUCACAUCACUCAAAUAUCUAUUUCAUCCAUUUCCCUCAAUCUAUGCCUUAACAUGAAUUCCUGUCUCCUUCUCUCAGGCACCCUGUCUGUUUCUCUUUGCAUGUGUCUCCUCAGUUUUAUCUCUCCCUGUGCUCCUCCAUUCAGCCAUCUCACACUGCAUGUUCCAUGUCAUUCAUGUGUUCCUUCUCAAUGAGAUUUGACAGUCAUUCAUGUAUCAGAGUUUGGGUCUCUCCAUUCAUUCUUUUGUGUCUGACAUUCAGUCACCCAUCUUUAUCCUCUCACUCUCUCCUUUUCUUACUCUCUCCUCUUCCUACUUCUCUUUAUCCAUUCAAUUCUCUCCUCCCAGUAUAUCAAUUCAUCCCUCAGUGUCUGUUUGUAUACUUAUCCCACUUGUUCCCUUCCAUCAGUCUGGGCCUGCUCUCUCCAUCAGGGAUUUUUCCUAGGACACAUUCAUUUCUCAAACUGCUCUUGAUUCACCUUCCUCUCCCUGAGUCUUUCCCUCCUAGUUCAGCAUCUAGACCUUUUCACAGUCACUGAAAUCACUAGUCCUAUUACCCAUUUAACUUCUUGGACUUUCUUACUCACCUCACUGUCUCACAAUCUGCAGCUACAAAUCUUACAUUUCAAUACGUCUCCAUUUCUAGAUCUCUCUUACUCAUUUGCUAUCCAGUGUUAACUUUCCCUCGUUCUCCAUUCAUUUAACUCUUGGGUUCUCUUCAAUUAGUGUCUUGACUUUUACUACCUGUAUAUGACCACAAUCUACUUCCUUUAUUCUAAGUACCCAUUGGGAUCCCCUGCAGAUAUAUCUCCUUUUCUAUACCUGUGAAUCUGUUAACGUGUAUUCCCAUUCAUUUCCCCUUCUCUCACUGUUCUUCUCCCAAUGUUUUUCUUUCAUUCAAUCUCACAGAUCAUUCUACUUUCUUUCAUGCUCCCCCAUUCAGUCAUCUCACAUUGCAUUCCUCGUUCCAUUCAUCUUUCUUUCUUAUUGGAACUUGACUGUUCCCUCAAGUAUCAGAGAUUGGGUCUUUCACUCCUGUCUUUUGGCCUCUGGGUCUCACAUUCUCACCUUCACCCCAUUCUCCAAUAGCUCUUUUGCAGCGAAGCAUAUCUGACAACUCACCUGAGUGUCUGACACUCAGGUGAUAUUUAUAGCAGCCAAAUCUCACUAGUCCUAUCAAUAUGUCCCUGUCUCUACCUCGGUGGUUCUCUGGAGCCAAUGUAUAUCCUUGUCUUCUAAAAUCUUUGCUUUUUCCCUUUGCUCAGCAGCCCAUCUUUGAUUGUUGCCCAUUCUGCUUUCUCCUUUUGGUGUAUUGACAGAUAUCUUUCCACAGGCACCUCUCACUCCAGAACAUUUCCACCUUCACACGUCUCACACUUUUGACCUUUCGUACCAGCAAUCUCACAUUUUCUCAUUCUUUUUUUUUUUUUCACAGUGGCCCGGCCUCUUCUGUAUUCAUUCAUGCUCUAUUAGUACUAGACCUAAACUCUUCUCUGUCCCCCUAUAACUCGAUGAUCCCUUGACCACACAAACCUGGAGUUUCUCCUUUCAUACACUGAUCACACUCUAGCUCACUAGAUUUAGCCGCAUAGCCCACAGGGAGCAGCCUUAUCUCUCCACACCAUGCUCAUUCAGUCCAUCACUUCUCUCAUCAUUCAUGUAGAUUUUCUAAACACCUAAUCAUCACUUUCACUCUUCACCAUUUACUUGCACAUUCUCCAAUGGCUCUUUUGCAGCAAAGCAUAUUUGACUCUUACCCUCUCAUCUUUCAUCCUUUCAUGGUUUUGUUGCUUGUCAGCUAUUCAUCCUGCAUGGCUUAGGCUUCUGCUUUCACAUACACACACAGACACACAGACACAUAUACACACACACAUACUACAAAGCACAAUUAUUUCCAUCCAAAAAUCUCUUACUUGUGUACAGGUCUCUUUCAAUACGUUGCACACUCUUUUUCUCUCUCCAUCCAAACAUCAUUCAGUCUUUUGGUCUCUCUUUCCAUACACUGCUCUCUCUUUUGGUGUCUCCCUCCAUCCAUCUCUUAUUUCUCACUCUCUCCAGUUAGAUCUCUCUCUCUCUCUCUCUGUCUAGGUCUGUCUUCCCUCUGUUUUAAGUCUCUGACUUCUGGAUGGUCAAAUUUCUCAGCUCCUUAUACCUCUUUACCCAUUCCUUUCAAAUCACUCAAGUGUCUAAAUUCAUCCAUUUACCACAGUCAUUCAUGUAUCAGAGUUUGGGUCUGUCCAUUCAUUCUUUGGUUCUGCCAUAUGUUCUUCCAUCCUCACCCUGUCAUACAUUUUCUCACUUCACUCUCCUCUCCCAACUUCUCUUCAUCCAUUUAAUUUUGACCCCUAGGUUAUCCAAUCUUCCCUCAAUAUCUGUAUGCACCCACAUUACACUUGUUCCCUUCUAUUUCUUUGGGCCUUCUCUUUCUCUCAGGGAUUUUUCCUAGGACACAAUCUCCUCUUAUACUGCUUUUGACUGAGCUUCCUGUCCUUGAGCCUUUUCCUGCUUGUAUUGGUUUUUUUUUUUUAAUCUUCAGCAUCUUGACCUUCUCACAGAUUCAGCUAUCUCUUUUUUCUCUACCUUCCCCACUUUAUUUCUUGGGCUUUCCAACUCAUCUCACUCUCUCAUGAUCAGAGGCUACCUAUCUCUCAUUGAAUACAACUUCAUUUCCAUAGAGCUCUCACUCUCUAUUCUUUU